CAGGCUUAACACAUGCAAGUCGAGGGGCAGCAUGGUCUUAUCUUGCUAAGGCCGAUGGCGACCGGCGCACGGGUGAGUAACACGUAUCCAACCUGCCGUCUACUCUUGGACAGCCUUCUGAAAGGAAGAUUAAUACAAGAUGGCAUCAUGAGUCCGCAUGUUCACAUGAUUAAAGGUAUUCCGGUAGACGAUGGGGAUGCGUUCCAUUAGAUAGUAGGCGGGGUAACGGCCCACCUAGUCUUCGAUGGAUAGGGGUUCUGAGAGGAAGGUCCCCCACAUUGGAACUGAGACACGGUCCAAACUCCUACGGGAGGCAGCAGUGAGGAAUAUUGGUCAAUGGGCGAGAGCCUGAACCAGCCAAGUAGCGUGAAGGAUGACUGCCCUAUGGGUUGUAAACUUCUUUUAUAAAGGAAUAAAGUCGGGUAUGGAUACCCGUUUGCAUGUACUUUAUGAAUAAGGAUCAGCUAACUCCGUGCCAGCAGCCGCGGUAAUACGGAGGAUCCGAGCGUUAUCCGGAUUUAUUGGGUUUAAAGGGAGCGUAGAUGGAUGUUUAAGUCAGUUGUGAAAGUUUGCGGCUCAACCGUAAAAUUGCAGUUGAUACUGGAUAUCUUGAGUGCAGUUGAGGCAGGCGGAAUUCGUGGUGUAGCGGUGAAAUGCUUAGAUAUCACGAAGAACUCCGAUUGCGAAGGCAGCCUGCUAAGCUGCAACUGACAUUGAGGCUCGAAAGUGUGGGUAUCAAACAGGAUUAGAUACCCUGGUAGUCCACACGGUAAACGAUGAAUACUCGCUGUUUGCGAUAUACUGCAAGCGGCCAAGCGAAAGCGUUAAGUAUUCCACCUGGGGAGUACGCCGGCAACGGUGAAACUCAAAGGAAUUGACGGGGGCCCGCACAAGCGGAGGAACAUGUGGUUUAAUUCGAUGAUACGCGAGGAACCUUACCCGGGCUUAAAUUGCAGAUGAAUUACGGUGAAAGCCGUAAGCCGCAAGGCAUCUGUGAAGGUGCUGCAUGGUUGUCGUCAGCUCGUGCCGUGAGGUGUCGGCUUAAGUGCCAUAACGAGCGCAACCCUUGUUGUCAGUUACUAACAGGUUCCGCUGAGGACUCUGACAAGACUGCCAUCGUAAGAUGUGAGGAAGGUGGGGAUGACGUCAAAUCAGCACGGCCCUUACGUCCGGGGCUACACACGUGUUACAAUGGGGGGUACAGAGGGCCGCUACCACGCGAGUGGAUGCCAAUCCCCAAAACCUCUCUCAGUUCGGACUGGAGUCUGCAACCCGACUCCACGAAGCUGGAUUCGCUAGUAAUCGCGCAUCAGCCACGGCGCGGUGAAUACGUUCCCGGGCCUUGUACACACCGCCCGUCAAGCCAUGGGAGCCGGGGGUACCUGAAGUGCGUAACCGCGAGGAGCGCCCUAGGGUAAAACUGGUGACUGG
RNAcentral lists this ribosomal RNA (1431 nucleotides) under uncultured organism. RNAcentral describes it as "16S ribosomal RNA". It matches the Rfam family "Bacterial small subunit ribosomal RNA". The record is from RNAcentral.